UACGUAGGGGGCAAGCGUUGUCCGGAAUUAUUGGGCGUAAAGAGCUCGUAGGCGGUUUGUCGCGUCGGCUGUGAAAACUCGGGGCUCAACUCCGAGCUUGCAGUCGAUACGGGCAGGCUAGAGUUCGGCAGGGGAGACUGGAAUUCCUGGUGUAGCGGUGAAAUGCGCAGAUAUCAGGAGGAACACCGGUGGCGAAGGCGGGUCUCUGGGCCGAUACUGACACUGAGGAGCGAAAGCGUGGGGAGCGAACAGG
RNAcentral lists this ribosomal RNA (253 nucleotides) under uncultured bacterium. Its description in RNAcentral is "partial 16S ribosomal RNA". It matches the Rfam family "Bacterial small subunit ribosomal RNA", at positions 524 to 776 of the family's 1533-position model. The record is from RNAcentral.